UACGUAGGGUGCGAGCGUUAAUCGGAAUUACUGGGCGUAAAGCGUGCGCAGGCGGCGCGUUAAGACAGGUGUGAAAGCCCCGAGCUUAACUUGGGAAUUGCGCUUGUGACUGGCGUGCUGGAGUGUGGCAGAGGGAGGUGGAAUUCCACGUGUAGCAGUGAAAUGCGUAGAGAUGUGGAGGAACACCGAUGGCGAAGGCAGCCUCCUGGGCCAACACUGACGCUCAUGCACGAAAGCGUGGGGAGCGAACAGG
This 253-nucleotide ribosomal RNA is filed under the name uncultured bacterium. Its description in RNAcentral is "partial 16S ribosomal RNA". It matches the Rfam family "Bacterial small subunit ribosomal RNA", at positions 524 to 776 of the family's 1533-position model. The record is from RNAcentral.